GCGCUCACUUUAGCAACACAAAUACUAAAACUGGAGCUUUACAGAGAUUAGCAUGUCCCCUACAAAAGGACGACCCGCACAUUCGCAAAGCGUUCUAUGCUUUA
RNAcentral lists this small nuclear RNA (104 nucleotides) under Vulpes vulpes (red fox). Lineage: Eukaryota; Metazoa; Chordata; Mammalia; Carnivora; Canidae. The record is from RNAcentral.